AGCAUUCAAUCAUAUGUCAAAAUGAAUUGAAUAAUAUUAAAAGAGCUAUUGUAGGUAAGGAUUGGUCCGUUAAUAAGGCAUUUAAGGAUUCAAUCCUUAUAGACGUGGCAUGUUGCCAUUGGCUCUCUAUAUCUCUCUCUUGUUUUCUCUGCUCUGUUAAUUUUCUCGUCGCCUCCGAUCCCGGGUGGGUCUUCUUCUCCAUCAUCCUGAUUUGCAAUCUGAUAGAUAUCAAUCUAUCUGUUUCUGAGUGAAUCGAUCGUCUUUUGAGCGACGAGGCUUCUACUUCCGACGAAACCCCUUUAGAUUUGUGCUUUUCAGCCGGAGCUUGUUCAGCGUGUUGAGAGAGACUUACUGAACAUCUUGAGUGGCGGAACAAUCGGAAACGUAAAUGAGCAGCAAGAGGAAACAGUUGCGAACGAGAAUACUAGUGUUAAUAAUGCAAACAAGAAAAUGUCUUCUUCUUCACCUGCUGAUGCACCUGGUGAAAAGCCUGAAGAAGCUCUUGAGUCAGCAAGAAAAGAGUGUUCCGGUCUGGUAAUAAUAAUAACCUCUGUGAGUUUGUUGUGAGAGGCCACAUUUUGAUUAACUAAAGAAACUUGUAUUGUCAAAAGUACACAUACAUGAAUCUCUGUUUGCUUCUCUAUGAUAUAAUCAUCAUUCUUCUUGGAA
This is a long non-coding RNA of Raphanus sativus (radish), 669 nucleotides long. RefSeq lists it as uncharacterized. The transcript is spliced from 3 exons. The record is from RefSeq and is a predicted model, not a curated record. NCBI's taxonomy places the organism in Eukaryota, Viridiplantae, Streptophyta, Magnoliopsida, Brassicales, Brassicaceae.